RNAcentral lists this ribosomal RNA (403 nucleotides) under uncultured bacterium. Its description in RNAcentral is "bacterial SSU rRNA". It matches the Rfam family "Bacterial small subunit ribosomal RNA", at positions 41 to 490 of the family's 1533-position model. The record is from RNAcentral.
GGCACGCCUAAACAUGCAAGUCGAACGAAGUAGCAAUACUUAGUGGCAGACGGGUGAGUAACAUGUGGGUAUCUACCCUUUGGCCUGGAAUAACACGAGGAAACUUGUGCUAAUACUGGAUAAGUCUUUACGGAGAAAGCUUUAUGCACCAUUGGAUGAGCCCGCACUUGAUUAGUUUGUUGGUAGGGUAAUGGCCUACCAAGACUAUGAUCAAUAGCUGAUUUGAGAGGAUGAUCAGCCACAUUGGGACUGAGACACGGCCCAAACUCCUACGGGAGGCAGCAGUGGGGAAUCUUGCACAAUGGAGGAAACUCUGAUGCAGCGAUGCCGCGUGAGUGAAGAAGGCCCUUGGGUUGUAAAGCUCUUUCGUCGGGGAAGAAAAUGACUGUACCCGAAUAAGAAG